GAGAGGAGCUGUCCUUAGUACGAGAGGACCGGGAUGGACGGACCGCUGGUGCAUCUGUUGGAUACCAGAUCCAUGGCAGAGUAGCCAAGUCCGGCAGGGAUAAACGCUGAAGGCAUCUAAGCGUGAAGCCCCCCUCAGGAUGAGAUAUCCCAUUCAUAGAGAAUGUAAGACCCCUUAGAGACUAUGAGGUAGAUAGGGCAUGGGUGUAAGUGCAGAGAUGCACUGAGCUGAAUGUCACUAAUAGGUCGAGGGCUUAUCCG
RNAcentral lists this ribosomal RNA (260 nucleotides) under Lachnospiraceae bacterium. RNAcentral describes it as "partial 23S ribosomal RNA". It matches the Rfam family "Bacterial large subunit ribosomal RNA", at positions 2664 to 2925 of the family's 2925-position model. The record is from RNAcentral. Lineage: Bacteria; Bacillati; Bacillota; Clostridia; Lachnospirales; Lachnospiraceae.